This 75-nucleotide transfer RNA is filed under the name Mycobacterium kansasii. Its description in RNAcentral is "tRNA-Thr". It matches the Rfam family "tRNA". Rfam says of the family: Transfer RNA (tRNA) molecules are approximately 80 nucleotides in length. Their secondary structure includes four short double-helical elements and three loops (D, anti-codon, and T loops). RNAcentral also lists the same sequence under 22 other names. Lineage: Bacteria; Bacillati; Actinomycetota; Actinomycetes; Mycobacteriales; Mycobacteriaceae. The record is from RNAcentral.
GCCUCCCUAGCUCAGUGGUAGAGCACCGCUCUUGUAAAGCGAAGGUCGUCGGUUCAAUCCCGACGGGGGGCUCCA